GAUAGCGCCAGAAGCCAGGGCAUCAGGCGAGACAGGUGCCAGAGUCCGAGGGUCAGAGAAACCCCUGCUGUUCAAAAUCCUGAGACUAUUAGGGAAAUAAAUCUCAGUCAUGUCAACCACAUCAAGACCCUGAGCAACUGUUUUGCUCUUUCCUGGUCUCUGUCUCUUCGGCUGUAAAUUUUUUCAAGUAGAAAGGUAAAUUCAGUCCCUGUGACUCCAUCUUGUUCAGAACCGAAGUCCCACUGCUUCAUGGAUUACAGCAGACUCUUCCUCUCAGGCUUCCCUGGUGGUCCAGUGGUUGAGAAUCCGCCUGCCAAUGCAGUUAGGGGACACUAAUUUGAUCCCCAGUCUGGAAAGAUCCCACUGGCUGUGAGGCAACUAAGCCCGUGUACCACAACGACUGAGCUUGCACUCUGGAGCCCAUGAGCAGCAGCUACUGAAGCCCACGUGCCCUAGAGCCUGUGCGCCACAGCAAGGGAAGCCACCACAAUGCGAGGCCCGUGCACUGCAUGAGAAAGUAGCCCCCACUCUCCACACUGAGAGAAAGUCCAUGUCCAGCAACAAAGACCUAGUGC
This is a long non-coding RNA of Bos taurus (domestic cattle), 575 nucleotides long. The record is from Ensembl. NCBI's taxonomy places the organism in Eukaryota, Metazoa, Chordata, Mammalia, Artiodactyla, Bovidae.